CAGAUACGGAUCGGUCCGUCGGUGGCCAUUGUCCGCAAGACAGAGCUGACGACCAAAGUUACGGAUAGUGAUAUAGAUAGUCGAAUGUAAUAAUCAUUCAUUGUCAGUUAUGAAUGAUGCUUCUUGACGAGAAAAAGUCAUUUAUUUCUCACGACGAAUAAUUCACUUGUGACUCAUGCGAUAUAAAUUGUAAAGCUUUGUACGACUGCAGGCUUCUUAGAAUUCUAGUGUCAAGUGAAUUUAAUUAGAACGACUACGUGUUCGUGGCAGCAUAAUUCAGUUGCACAUGUUCAAAACGUCCUUAGCGAUAAAAAGCAAUAUGUACUGGUCACUUCGCACCAAACCAAUAUAUCUCUCAAGAUAUAAGACUUCUUCCUCAAAGAUAUAUCAACGUUAUAUGAGGGGGUAGAGAUUCAUAUUGGUGGAAGUCACUUUUCGAUCAAGUUGCACUACAAAUGCUAAUACGUCCAACGAAAACAUUUAAUGUCAGCUUUUUGCAAAGAUUCGUGCUUCUGCGAUUGCUGAAGACGAUUUCAUCCCUCAGCAAAAGAAAUUUUCAUCCCUUCGAUUUGAAGGGAAGUAUAACGCGCAAACGUUUAUCGUACCACCGUCAAACUGACAAUGUUCUACCUAUGCGUCGCGUGUUUCGACGACCGUCGCGAGCACGUGGUCGCGGAGAUUCGCUGCUAAGCAUUGGAUAGCGUCGAGGCGGCCCUGUAGACCAGAAACCGAGCGAGACUCGUGUCAGGAGAGCCCCACCAGAACAUCACGUGGGUUCGCAGGCCCACGGCACACGGGUACACGACUGACAGUUCCCAGUCAGCUGAUCGUCCACCCGGGAGGGUGAGAGGUAGGAGGUAGCAGUCAGCACCAGCAGCAGCAGUAGCAGUAGCACAAGUAGAGGAGGUGGUGGAGGUGACGGAGGAGGAUGAGGGAAGGAAGGGGCGCGGGUUAGCAGAGAGAAGAAGGGAAGGAGGGCGGAGGGGUUGGCGACGCGCAGUCUGCCGUCGUCGUCGGGAUCAGCUGAUCGGUGGAGGUGUGCUGGUAGCUGACUGACUGUGAACUCUCUCAAUGAACCAACGGACGAAGAAGUCUUCGCGUGCGUACACACACGUACAUGGGGAGUGAGAGCACGCUUCCCGCGGGGGGCCGAGGGAGAGGGAAGGGAAGCGAGCGAGCGCGUAUGCGCGCCUGUCUGCCUAACUAUGCGCCAGAGCACUCGCGAGGGAGCGAGCGUUUAGUAGCUAACGGAAGUAGUAGUGGCCCGGCACCGAGAGCUUCGAAUGACCUCGACGUUUGCGCCGCGACGAGCCGUUCUUCGGCCUCUUCACGGAGAGGGUUGGUUGCAGCGUACGGUGGUACUGUACAUCAGCCAAGGAACAAACUUCAGGACCGAGCGGAGUUGUAAAAUACACUAAUCAGCGAGAACGCUUACGGAGGCAGCCGUAAAAAAAGGUGUACUGUGCUCAAACGUAAUUGGGGAUUGUGCUAUGUUUACCUGGGUCUAGUUUUUCCACCGAGAUACGUUUAUAAAACUCUUUUAGCUUCCUGUUGAAAACACGACCACAAAUCAGAUAUCAUUAAGCAAUACUUUCUGUAUGUGUGUACCAAAUUAUGCAGAUAUAUUUUUGCAUUAAUCCAGUUCAGUGAUGAGGAAAAUAACGUAAUAGUUAACUACAAACUAAAUAUUGCUACAGGGGUAAUAUAUAGAUAUUUAAGCCAUUAUAAGGGAUGAUUUCCUCGCUAGAGAUCGUGGAUGCACCAGCCGCAACUGCUUAAUUGCUACAUAGUAGCGGUAUCAGAGGUUGUCGACACAGGAACAAUAUCCUUUGAUGUUGUUACAAUGUUAAAUAUCUAGGAUCAGGUGAAUUGCGGCAGCUUUUGAGACCUUUAGCUAGAGAACUAUCUUCAUAAGAUAUUGUCGAGGAUUACCUACGGUACAUAUUGUAAUUUCUCUAUUAAUCACACAUAGGAUGAAUACCUUUUACAGUCUUUAAAAUUUAAAGGAAUAGGACUUUGUUUACGAUUUCAUAACUUGUUUUAGAAGAUCGUAACGCACAUUCAUACAAAGACAGUGAAAAGCAAUAAACCACAAACACGUAAUUCAUUCUCGCGAAUAUUUAGAUAUAUCGUAAUUUUUGUAGUUAUCUAGUCAUCAUUUUGAUUAACGAGAGAGAUAAUAUCAAGAAGGUCAAUUCGCAAUUGCGUAAUGCGGUACUAAAUACACGUGUCGUGCGUAUAUCCAUCCGCUAGGCAGGAGAAGAGCGCAAAGCAAAAAGAGCGGUGAGAUCAAAUGUAAAGCUUCACAGAAACUCAACGCGGUCGUAAGUUUCCUCGCUCGUGAUUGCCAGAUACUAUAUUUCUGUCGCGUAUACAGGAUGCUCACGCGGUUGUUAAACGAGUUUUUGUUGUAAAUUUUUCAAUAAACGUGACUAUUAUUGUCUUAAAAUAAGUACAGACAUAAACUAAUUUAAUCUGUAUAAAUAUCAACUAAUUCAUUUCAUACAAAUUUAUUUUUAUAUACAUCACGUUAGAAGUUUGAUUAUGAAAUGCGAGCCUGAUUAGUUCCCGAACAAAAUAUUGUCUUUCCAAACACGCGUAUCAGUUAAUUGCCAUUUUUUAUCGAAACACGAACGGUGAACGCGCAGAUAAUUGCCCUUAAUUAUGGGGCUCCGUCCUUUAGCCGCGUAAUCAUCCGAUUGAUGUUCUCUAGCGAGUGCGUAUAGUAUUCGGUUUCACGAUAUACAGUAUGUUCUGAGUGAGAGGGAGAGAGAGACUGUAAUAAGCGUGUAUGCAAUCAUCGACAAUUGAAUACGCAAUACGCGGUUAAGGGGCCGUGUAAUCCACCGGCGACAGAAGAACAGCCGCUCCUUGUUCUGCCGGGGACGAUAGCAACGCUAUUACAGGCGCUGUAACGACAUAGUAACCACCCAGAUGGACAGGAUCUGGUAGAAGUUACUCUCUUCUUCGUACAUUUCAGAGAAAACCAGUUCCUCGUUCGACGAAUGCGAACUACCGCGAAAUUCGUUUUCGAAUAAAUUCUCGAUAACGUUCCUACUAACGUUUGUUUUAAGAAUCGCAAGCACUUGAGAUGCUCGACAAAAAAAUGUAAUUUGAAUCAUUAAACGAUUGAUAAAGUCUUGAAAUAA
Ceratina calcarata is the source of this 3149-nucleotide long non-coding RNA. RefSeq lists it as uncharacterized. NCBI's taxonomy places the organism in Eukaryota, Metazoa, Arthropoda, Insecta, Hymenoptera, Apidae. The record is from RefSeq and is a predicted model, not a curated record. The transcript is spliced from 4 exons.